This 72-nucleotide transfer RNA is filed under the name Sphaerodactylus townsendi. Its description in RNAcentral is "tRNA-Ala". It matches the Rfam family "tRNA". From Rfam's summary of the family: Transfer RNA (tRNA) molecules are approximately 80 nucleotides in length. Their secondary structure includes four short double-helical elements and three loops (D, anti-codon, and T loops). Further hydrogen bonds mediate the characteristic L-shaped molecular structure. tRNAs have two regions of fundamental functional importance: the anti-codon, which is responsible for specific mRNA codon recognition, and the 3' end, to which the tRNAs corresponding amino acid is attached (by aminoacyl-tRNA synthetases). tRNAs cope with the degeneracy of the genetic code in two manners: having more than one tRNA (with a specific anti-codon) for a particular amino acid; and 'wobble' base-pairing, i.e. permitting non-standard base-pairing at the 3rd anti-codon position. The record is from RNAcentral. Lineage: Eukaryota; Metazoa; Chordata; Lepidosauria; Squamata; Sphaerodactylidae.
AGGGGUGUGGCUCAGUGGUAGAACAUCUGCUUGGCAUGUAGAAAGUCCCAAGUUCUAUCCCCGGCAUCUCCA